This 201-nucleotide small RNA is filed under the name Pongo abelii (Sumatran orangutan). Its description in RNAcentral is "processed transcript". The record is from RNAcentral. Lineage: Eukaryota; Metazoa; Chordata; Mammalia; Primates; Hominidae.
GGAAGAAAUGUCGGGGUUUCAUCAGAGCUAGGGAGCGACAGUCGGGAACAGCGAGUCUGCUGAAGCCGGCUGUUGUGUGAGGCUUCCGUGCCCCGUUCUUCUGGAGCAGGCAAGAGGUGCUUGGAGUGAGGUGCUUCUGGAGUGAGGUGCUUGGGUGCGCUCGAGAGAGCUUCCCCCUGCUCCACCUGUUUCGCGGUGCGC